GAUGAACGCUGGCGGCGUGCCUAAUACAUGCAAGUCGAGCGAACGGACGAGGCGCUUGCUUCGCUGAUGUUAGGGGAGGACGGGUGAGUAACGCGUGGAUCACCUACCUAUAAGACUGGGAUAACUACGGGAAACCGGCGCUAACACCGGAUAAUCUUUUGAUCCGCAUGGUUCAAUAGUGAAAGACGGUCUUGCUGUAACUACUAGCUGGAUCCGCGCUGCAUUAGCUAGUUGGUAAGGUACAGGCUUAUGAAGGCGACGAGGCAUAGCCGACCUGAGGGGCGGAUAGCCGACACUGGAACUGAGACAGGCACCAUACUCCUACGGUAGGCAGCAGUAGCGUACGGUCCGCAAUGGGCGAGAGCCUGACGCAGUAACGCGGCGUGAGUUAUGAAGGUCUUCGGAUCGGAAAACUCUGCUACGAGGGAAGAACAUAUGUGCACGUAACUGUGCAGAUCGUGACGGUACCUAAUCAGAAAGCCACGGCUAACUACGUG
Molecule: ribosomal RNA, 497 nt
Filed under: uncultured bacterium
Lineage: Bacteria
Description: partial 16S ribosomal RNA
Rfam family: Bacterial small subunit ribosomal RNA
Source: RNAcentral